RNAcentral lists this ribosomal RNA (437 nucleotides) under uncultured bacterium. RNAcentral's name for it is "bacterial SSU rRNA". It matches the Rfam family "Bacterial small subunit ribosomal RNA", at positions 355 to 796 of the family's 1533-position model. The record is from RNAcentral.
UCGAGGAUCUUCGUCAAUGGGCGCAAGCCUGAACGAGCGACGCCGCGUGUGCGAUGAAGGCCUUCGGGUUGUAAAGCACUGUCGAGGGGGAGAAAGCCAGCGCAAGCUGGUUGAUCGAUCCCUGGAGGAAGCACGGGCUAAGUUCGUGCCAGCAGCCGCGGUAAGACGAACCGUGCGAACGUUGUUCGGAAUCACUGGGCUUAAAGGGCGCGUAGGCGGCCUGCAAGGUCGGGGGUGAAAUCCCACGGCUCAACCGUGGAAGUGCCUCCGAUACCGGCGGGCUCGAGGAAGGUAGGGGUGCGCGGAACUUCUGGUGGAGCGGUGAAAUGCGUUGAUAUCAGAAGGAACGCCGGCGGCGAAAGCGGCGCACUGGACCUUUUCUGACGCUGAGGCGCGAAAGCCAGGGGAGCAAACGGGAUUAGAUACCCCGGUAGUCC